GUAAUCCUCGGGACGCAGCAGUGAGGAAUAUUGGUCAAUGGGCUUACGCCUGAACCAGCCAAGUCGCGUGAGGGAAGACUGCCCUAUGGGUUGUAAACCUCUUUUGUCAGGGAGCAACGCCGGCUACGUGUAGCCGGACUGAGAGUACCUGAAGAAAAAGCAUCGGCUAACUCCGUGCCAGCAGCCGCGGUAAUACGGAGGAUGCGAGCGUUAUCCGGAUUUAUUGGGUUUAAAGGGUGCGUAGGCGGAAUGCCAAGUCAGCGGUAAAAUCGCGGGGCUCAACCUCGCUCCGCCGUUAAAACUGG
This 305-nucleotide ribosomal RNA is filed under the name uncultured bacterium. RNAcentral's name for it is "bacterial SSU rRNA". It matches the Rfam family "Bacterial small subunit ribosomal RNA", at positions 333 to 636 of the family's 1533-position model. The record is from RNAcentral.